CCCUAUGGGGCGCAGCAGGCGACACUGUAGUAGGCGCUACCUCCGGACAGACGGGAAUCGUUGUGGCUGUCUAUGUGACUUCCGGCACAUGGGCAGGCGGAGACGCGGCAGGCUUCUUGUAUCUGAAGUAUCCUGGUGCUGAUUGGGCCAACUGGACCAACCCCGAGAACAUUCGGGUUGAUGGGGUCACCAGAGCAGCGACCACUGGAACAGGUGAAGCGCUUGGUCUGACCAGGCAAUUAUCUGAGACAUACUGCAACAACAUCGGCAGCACUAGGUGGGGCUGUGAGAAUGUUUGGACAUUAGAUGCGUUGACGAUGCUCUACUUGGUUGAGUACGCCAACUGGAACUCGCAGUCUACCAGCGUCGGAAUUGGCGGGAGGGC
This 385-nucleotide ribosomal RNA is filed under the name uncultured prokaryote. RNAcentral describes it as "partial 16S ribosomal RNA". The record is from RNAcentral.